RNAcentral lists this ribosomal RNA (753 nucleotides) under Enterobacteriaceae bacterium DHL-33. Its description in RNAcentral is "bacterial SSU rRNA". It matches the Rfam family "Bacterial small subunit ribosomal RNA", at positions 31 to 774 of the family's 1533-position model. The record is from RNAcentral. Lineage: Bacteria; Pseudomonadati; Pseudomonadota; Gammaproteobacteria; Enterobacterales; Enterobacteriaceae.
UGACGCUGGCGGCAGCCUAACACAUGCAAGUCGAACGGUAACAGGAAGCAGCUUGCUUCUUUGCUGACGAGUGGCGGACGGGUGAGUAAUGUCUGGGAAACUGCCUGAUGGAGGGGGAUAACUACUGGAAACGGUAGCUAAUACCGCAUAACGUCGCAAGACCAAAGAGGGGGACCUUCGGGCCUCUUGCCAUCGGAUGUGCCCAGAUGGGAUUAGCUAGUAGGUGGGGUAACGGCUCACCUAGGCGACGAUCCCUAGCUGGUCUGAGAGGAUGACCAGCCACACUGGAACUGAGACACGGUCCAGACUCCUACGGGAGGCAGCAGUGGGGAAUAUUGCACAAUGGGCGCAAGCCUGAUGCAGCCAUGCCGCGUGUAUGAAGAAGGCCUUCGGGUUGUAAAGUACUUUCAGCGGGGAGGAAGGGAGUAAAGUUAAUACCUUUGCUCAUUGACGUUACCCGCAGAAGAAGCACCGGCUAACUCCGUGCCAGCAGCCGCGGUAAUACGGAGGGUGCAAGCGUUAAUCGGAAUUACUGGGCGUAAAGCGCACGCAGGCGGUUUGUUAAGUCAGAUGUGAAAUCCCCGGGCUCAACCUGGGAACUGCAUCUGAUACUGGCAAGCUUGAGUCUCGUAGAGGGGGGUAGAAUUCCAGGUGUAGCGGUGAAAUGCGUAGAGAUCUGGAGGAAUACCGGUGGCGAAGGCGGCCCCCUGGACGAAGACUGACGCUCAGGUGCGAAAGCGUGGGGAGCAACAG